This 432-nucleotide ribosomal RNA is filed under the name uncultured bacterium. RNAcentral's name for it is "bacterial SSU rRNA". It matches the Rfam family "Bacterial small subunit ribosomal RNA", at positions 29 to 494 of the family's 1533-position model. The record is from RNAcentral.
AACGAACGCUGGCGGCACGCCUAACACAUGCAAGUCGAACGCGAGACCAUCCUUCGGGAUGUGAUUGAGUGGCGGACGGGUGAGUAACGCGUGGGAACCUGCCUUGCAGUAAGGAAUAACCUCGGGAAACCGGGGCUAAUACCGUAUACGCCCUUUUGGGGAAAGAUUUAUCGCUGUAAGAUGGGCCCGCGUUAGAUUAGGUAGUUGGUAGGGUAAUGGCCUACCAAGCCGAUGAUCUAUAGCUGGUUUGAGAGGAUGAUCAGCCACACUGGGACUGAGACACGGCCCAGACUCCUACGGGAGGCAGCAGUGGGGAAUAUUGGACAAUGGGGGCAACCCUGAUCCAGCGAUGCCGCGUGAGUGAAGAAGGCCUUCGGGUUGUAAAACUCUUUCACCUGUGACGAUGAUGACGGUAGCAGGAGAAGAAGCACC